RNAcentral lists this transfer RNA (72 nucleotides) under Candidatus Iainarchaeum sp. RNAcentral's name for it is "tRNA-Val". It matches the Rfam family "tRNA". From Rfam's summary of the family: Transfer RNA (tRNA) molecules are approximately 80 nucleotides in length. Their secondary structure includes four short double-helical elements and three loops (D, anti-codon, and T loops). Further hydrogen bonds mediate the characteristic L-shaped molecular structure. tRNAs have two regions of fundamental functional importance: the anti-codon, which is responsible for specific mRNA codon recognition, and the 3' end, to which the tRNAs corresponding amino acid is attached (by aminoacyl-tRNA synthetases). tRNAs cope with the degeneracy of the genetic code in two manners: having more than one tRNA (with a specific anti-codon) for a particular amino acid; and 'wobble' base-pairing, i.e. permitting non-standard base-pairing at the 3rd anti-codon position. The record is from RNAcentral. Lineage: Archaea; Nanobdellati; Candidatus Iainarchaeota; Candidatus Iainarchaeia; Candidatus Iainarchaeales; Candidatus Iainarchaeaceae.
GGGCCCGUGGUUUAGUGGUAUAACGUCGCAUUUACACUGCGAAGGCUGCCGGUUCGAUUCCGGCCGGGCCCA